This 646-nucleotide ribosomal RNA is filed under the name bacterium LGM7. RNAcentral's name for it is "bacterial SSU rRNA". It matches the Rfam family "Bacterial small subunit ribosomal RNA", at positions 56 to 698 of the family's 1533-position model. The record is from RNAcentral.
UGCAGUCGAGCGGGGAAGGUAGCUUGCUACUUAACCUAGCGGCGGACGGGUGAGUAAUGCUUAGGAAUCUGCCUAUUAGUGGGGGACAACAUCUCGAAAGGGAUGCUAAUACCGCAUACGUCCUACGGGAGAAAGCAGGGGACCUUCGGGCCUUGCGCUAAUAGAUGAGCCUAAGUCGGAUUAGCUAGUUGGUGGGGUAAAGGCCUACCAAGGCGACGAUCUGUAGCGGGUCUGAGAGGAUGAUCCGCCACACUGGGACUGAGACACGGCCCAGACUCCUACGGGAGGCAGCAGUGGGGAAUAUUGGACAAUGGGGGGAACCCUGAUCCAGCCAUGCCGCGUGUGUGAAGAAGGCCUUUUGGUUGUAAAGCACUUUAAGCGAGGAGGAGGCUACCGAGAUUAAUACUCUUGGAUAGUGGACGUUACUCGCAGAAUAAGCACCGGCUAACUCUGUGCCAGCAGCCGCGGUAAUACAGAGGGUGCAAGCGUUAAUCGGAUUUACUGGGCGUAAAGCGCGCGUAGGUGGCCAAUUAAGUCAAAUGUGAAAUCCCCGAGCUUAACUUGGGAAUUGCAUUCGAUACUGGUUGGCUAGAGUAUGGGAGAGGAUGGUAGAAUUCCAGGUGUAGCGGUGAAAUGCGUAGAGAUC